ACUUCGGUUCUGAUGGCGACCGGCGCACGGGUGAGUAACGCGUACACUACCUACCUUUAACAGAGGGAUAGCCCUGGGAAACUGGGAUUAAUACCACAUAGUAUUGCAUAUUUUAUUUUUAUGCAAUUAAAGCUCCGGCGGUUAAAGAUGGGUGUGCGUUAGAUUAGCUAGUUGGUAAGGUAAUGGCUUACCAAGGCUACGAUCUAUAGGGGGCGUGAGAGCGUGGACCCCCACACGGGUACUGAGACACGGACCCGACUCCUACGGGAGGCAGCAGUAAGGAAUAUUGGACAAUGGGCGCAAGCCUGAUCCAGCCAUCCCGCGUGAAGGAUGACGGCCCUAUGGGUUGUAAACUUCUUUUAUUAGGGAAGAAACCUUUUCAUUUAUGAAGAGCUGACGGUACCUAAAGAAUAAGCACCGGCUAACUCCGUGCCAGCAGCCGCGGUAAUACGGAGGGUGCAAGCGUUAUCCGGAAUCACUGGGUUU
Molecule: ribosomal RNA, 486 nt
Filed under: uncultured Bacteroidota bacterium
Lineage: Bacteria; Pseudomonadati; Bacteroidota
Description: bacterial SSU rRNA
Rfam family: Bacterial small subunit ribosomal RNA
Source: RNAcentral